UGCUUCAGUUGUCUAAGUAAUUUCAGUUAUUUCUGAAAAUUAUAUGAACAGAACUUUAUUUUAAACUGGACUUAUUACACUGUGUUAAAAGUCACAAGAAGUUCACUUCUGUUUGCAUCUCUGUACUUACGUGCACGCUAAUUCAAUUCUGUAAAAUAACUCAAUUGAGUUUUACACUGUGAGAGUAGAGUAACUUUUUUUUCUUCUUGGUAGUUCUGCGGUAAUUCAGUAUCACCACACACCACCCAGAAUAGUUUGUCAGCAGAUGGUUAGAGAACUGCCACAGAGAGGAGGGAGAGGUAGGUUUGAAAACCCUCAAGCUGAGAAAGACUUUAGUCCUGUAUCUCCUAUAUCCUAAAAAAUAGCUCUAACCAUUACCACAAACAUAAAUGACAGUGAAUUAGCUUUACUGUUUUAUGUGUAAGAAAGAGCAUAGGAACAUCUCUUUUAGAGGAGGCUUAUGAUUCUGGAGCCCAAAGGACAGAGACUGAGUUUUAACAUAGAGUCUUACUGCAAAUCUUGGAAAGGAAUGAGGUUUCUGGAACUUCCAGUAGAACUGAAGCCAAUAUCAUGGGAAGCCAACGAAAAUGUGGCAGUCUGAGCUCUGAGAUUAAGUUCAUCUUAACUCUCCUGUACGUAAGGGCAUGAAGAGCCAAGAAAUAAAACCUAUACAAAUGCUUUCACAAAUCCCUGCAGACCAAAUCCAUCAAGUGCCACCUGGCCUAAAGCUCUGUAAGGAAAUCAAGGGACCUGCAGAUCAUUAGCUAGUUGAAUCUAAGUCCGUGGUUAGUUUUUGCUGGUGUAUUUAGUUCUAAUAAGGCACAAACAAUAAGAACUAACUUAUUUCUCUUCUUCCCUUGAUUUUUCUUUUUGUCACACAGAAGAGGUAAUGUCCCCUGUGUAGUUUCGACUUACUUUCACAAAUGCCACAAUCUUGUCAGCAUAUUGCAUUGCUUUAAGUCAUGUAACAGCUUCUUUUUCUGUUCUUGCAAUGAUUUAAAAUCUUCCCCAAAUCAUACCCCUUUUAGUAGGUUAUCCUUCAUGACUGAUUCCUGUAGAUUUCCAUUUCCUUUUAAGGUGUCUUUUAAAACUAUUUCUAUGUGGAAUACAGGAAAAAAGGACAACUGUGUCGUAGGCAUUAUUUUCUUGAUUAGAUUAUUAGGCUCUACAGAGUAAAAUGUCUCUCAUGAAAUCCAGCAAAAGACAGCAGAAAACAGAGCUCUUUUCUGAACCUCCUUAGGCAAAAGUAUCACCCUUUUUGGCUAUGUUGCCACAGGGCAUGUGAUUAAAUUAUUUUAAAACCAUCCUUUAAUUUAGAAAAAUAAUCAGCUGAAUAGAAUCAGUUUUACGGAGAUACUAUAUUAGAUUUAUUCACAUACACAAGCUUUAUGAAAUGAGAAAACAUCUGCUACGCUGACAUAUUGCCAGAACUGUACUUAUUUAAAAUGCUAACUUACUUAUUUAAAAUGAUAAAAAACAUUGUGAGCAUACCUUGGAUAUAAGCUAAAAAGAUAAAAGCUGGCAAUCUUUAAGGUUUAAAAGAAUUGUGCAGGUAACAAGUGUUUUCUGAAAAACUCUGCCCAGUGCUGUCAAGUGCAUGGAAGUGGAAAUUAUUUUAACUUGUAACAGCAACUUGUUAAAUUAGUUGACCAAUUAAAGGAGCCUCUGAAAUUCAAUCUUUAGCUAAAUGCAGAGAUUAAUACUACGUGACAUUGUUAGGGUAUCUGUCACAGAUGUUUUGGUUUUGAAUUAUGUUACAUGAUACUACAACUGCAAAUGCUUUUUCUGAGUAGAGUUAUGGUAAACUGUUCAGGGUACAUGACUGCUAAGAGCAGUAAGUGAAAUGCAUACUAGUUUUAAUUCCAUGUAAAUUCUGAAUUUUACACUCUGAAUGGAUCUGGAAAUUGUACUUCACUGAGCUAAGGGAAAUGCUGGUUGGAUAUCUUCAUUGUGAUGGAUAAAUAUAGGUAGUUUCUGUGGACAAGUGCAGCCCUUGUUAAUGAAAUGAAUGCUAAUGACAUUCUUGUGUAAGUACAGUGUCUGUAGUAACACCACUUUUUCUCUUCAAUGUGUACCUUUACAUGGUAAAUUGCCACGGUGACUUUACAGUUAAUGAGGAGCAAUGUCUAGUGGUAUGAACCCAGCACUAAAAAUAUGGUCUCCAGCUGAGUUCCCACUUACCAGUUUCUGCUCAUUGUUUUCGUCUGCUUGCUUGCCUUGCAGUCCGACAGGAGCCUUCCGAGCCAAAGUUUCCAGCAGCGCACACCCGUGGAGUGCCCACUGACAGGCACAAACCAGAGAAUCUGCACACUCGUCAGUGCGGAGGAAGAUGAGUUCUGUGACUUAACAGAUUUGGGAUUUUGCUUAUUUUUUUUCUUACGAGGUCCCAUGAAGAAAACACAGCUGUCUGUUCUACGUCAUGUAAACUACCCUGACAAAUGUGAGAAAAUUAAGGCUACUGGUGUUCUUGGUGUUACAAGUCAAUCACAAUAUUAGUCUUGGGAAUUCAGCCUGUCAGAAACCCAGUUCAGUGCUGCAACAGAAGGAAAAGACGGCAUUGUGCCGCUAUGGAACGGCAAGAACGAUAUGCACAACGGAAUUUCAAGUUCCACUUCUCGGCUAAGUUCUUAUGAGGAAAACAUGAGAAUUACUUGACAAGAACAAAUAAAGGUAAACAUGGAGUGUUUUUGAAUGGAGUUGACAACACUGAAAUAAAUCUUUCUUGGAAUACAAAAGUAGGGGAACACAUGAAAGAAUUUCAAUCCAACACAGAGAAGUUCACUCAGAGCAGUUUUGAAAACAUUCAAGUUCAUGACAGUUACUUUUUUGCAGGGAAUGACUGCAGAUCUUUCCUGAAAACAAAAGGAAACUACAUGCGGGUUGUACUCAGCCCUGAGUAUUUAAAACUACACAUGCUACACAAGAUGUAAACUACAUUUAAGAAGACUGGGGUUUUUGACAUUUCAUAUACAUUGCCAUGAUUUGCAUGUGGAGUUCUAGAAAAGUCUGAUCUUUAGCCUUCCAUCUUCUGGAAUUUGAAUUAAUGAACUUCACUUAAUUAGGCUCGGGUGAGGAGUUAGAGGCUUACCCAGAAUGCAGAGAUAUUUGAAUAGGCUUGCCUGGGUACUACAGCCUGUGUAGUUUCAGCAUGCCUAAAACUAGACUGAGUACAAAGUAAAUACAAUAAAAAAAUAAAAUUCAGGGAGUGAAUUUAUAAAUAAAUAUAUUGUAGGCAAGAGCUUGAAAGGGCACAGACUAAGCGAUUAUUAGGGUUUUUUCCCCCAACUUGAAUUUCUAUGACCCUGUGAGUGCAAAACUAUGAAUAAAUGAGUUUUUAAAUCUCA
Dromaius novaehollandiae (emu) is the source of this 3344-nucleotide long non-coding RNA. RefSeq lists it as uncharacterized. The transcript has 2 exons. The record is from RefSeq and is a predicted model, not a curated record. NCBI's taxonomy places the organism in Eukaryota, Metazoa, Chordata, Aves, Casuariiformes, Dromaiidae.